Molecule: ribosomal RNA, 119 nt
Filed under: Propithecus coquereli (Coquerel's sifaka)
Lineage: Eukaryota; Metazoa; Chordata; Mammalia; Primates; Indriidae
Source: RNAcentral
GUCUGUAGCUAUAUCACCCUGAACAUGCUCAAUGUUGUCUGAUCUUGGAAGCUAAGCAGGGUCCAGCCUGGGUAGUACUUGGAUGGGAUACUGCCUGGGAAUACUGAAUGCUGUAGGCU